Molecule: ribosomal RNA, 253 nt
Filed under: uncultured bacterium
Lineage: Bacteria
Description: partial 16S ribosomal RNA
Rfam family: Bacterial small subunit ribosomal RNA
Source: RNAcentral
UACGUAGGGACCGAGCGUUGUCCGGAAUCAUUGGGCGUAAAGAGCGUGUAGGCGGCCACUUAAGUCCUGCGUGAAAUCUUGCGGCUCAACCGCAAGCGGUCGUGGGAAACUGGGUGGCUAGAGUGCGGGAGAGGAGAGUGGAAUUCCUGGUGUAGCGGUGGAAUGCGCAGAUAUCAGGAGGAACACCGGUGGCGAAGGCGGGUCUCUGGGCCGUAACUGACGCUGAGGAGCGAAAGCGUGGGGAGCGAACAGG